Long non-coding RNA from Etheostoma cragini (Arkansas darter), 2252 nucleotides. RefSeq lists it as uncharacterized. NCBI's taxonomy places the organism in Eukaryota, Metazoa, Chordata, Actinopteri, Perciformes, Percidae. The record is from RefSeq and is a predicted model, not a curated record. The transcript has 2 exons.
CAAGGGCUUUAUAUCAAUAAACUUAACAUUAGCUUAAAUCUGAGCUCAGAUCAGUGUGGGGUUAAUUGGAUAGGGGUACGCAGAGGGCAAAGUGAAUGCAAUUUGUCAUUCUAAUAAAAGACUGCAGCAGGUGCUUUCACUUAUUAGUUCCUCCUCCUCCUCUUCCUGCCACUCCUCCUCCACUCUGGCUGAUUAAGUACUAAUAAGUGACAUUGUCUGCUGUUGUCUGUGGAUGGAACAAAGCCUUGCCUGUACGCAUCAACCCUAGGGCACAUAUGAUUGAAAAGCACAUAUGAUUGAGCUCUGAAAUUGAAUGUUUAUUGUGGAGUCCUGAGAGCAAGACGAGCUGUCUUCUCCAGACAGAAACGAUGGCCUACCUUGAUCAGACUGCUGCGUCGAGGAAUUGGUUUGGAGGCUGAAACUGAUCCCGCGCUCUCCCCCGUCGGGGACUCGCAGCUGGAUUCGUUUUGGACCCUCUUCACGGUGUCUGACACGCUGCAGUUUCCGUUUGACACCGGCUCUGCUCGGUGCGUCUCCAGGCUCAUCCCGGCUCCUCCUGACGCAGCUUUCCAGCCAGCAACCUGCAGACCGACGGCUCUUUUGUUCUCUCCAAAUUCAGCCAUGGUGACACUUUUUGGGUUUCUCAGAUCUCUUGAAAGCACCGUGACUCCGAACGCAACAGCGCUUCACGCGGACGCAUGGGUGCCAUUAUUUGAAGUGAGCGAUGUGCGACCGUGCGCCAAGAGCAGAGGAAACUUGUCUCUCUCUCUCUCUCUCUCUCUCUCUCUCUCUCUCUCUCUCUCUCGCGACAGCAGUGACCGACACCUACUAGACCCCCGCCGCAAACACUCAACACAUCUCCGGCCGCUUCAGCUGGAUGUGCGCUUGCGUUCAGGAAAUGCACACAUGGCCGUCUGCUCCUCCUCCGCCACCGUCGCCUUAACACAUCCUCUUCCCCAAUGUGCUAAAGAACAACGCACACCAUGAUGAUUUCUACAUAACAUCAGCUCCUAUGUCUCCCUCUCUCGCUGUCUCGCUCCAGUCUUCAUCAGCAGCCCCUGGGGUUAUGAGUGCAGCGGCGCAACAUCUGUCACCGAUCUGUCAGAUGUGCGUGGUGUGUGUUCUUUUCUGGGUUUCCAGAAGGAAAUGGGUGUUUUAUUCGCGCUACUUAAUGGUUGAUAAAUCAUUUUGGCCUAUUAAUGCUUUAUAGAUAUUCUGGGUGACAAGCAGUGUAAUAUCUCAUUAGUUUAUUUCUAGAAAAAGGCUGCAGAAUAGCUUGACCAGAAUCUAUUCACUCACAACUUUUAACAUUUACAACUGUCAAUUUGGUAAUUAAUACCCCCUAUUAUUAACGUUCGCAGCUGCAAACCUGACAUUGAAAUAAUUUAAUAAUCACUUAGUAAUGUAUUUAUAACCAAAUACCGUAUUUAAACCCUUUAUUGAUGACUUAUUAACAUCUAUAACUGCAUACAUGGUGAUUAAAACCCUCUGUUAAUGACUUAUUAGCCGUUCAUCGUAGACUAGAUAACCAAUCCCUUUGUUAUUUACUUGGCAUUAGUUAAGAGCUUGAUUAUUCGUCUAUGCUUUUAAAAAGUGAGCUAUUGUCAGGGUAUAUUUGCAGUUUAGACUUGCACUCAAAUUAUUAUUCUUUUCUGGUGUGCACUUUUGAGACAGUCCAUGCAUACCUAAACACAGUUGAAUGCACCAUUAACUGCCUCUCUAAAUUUCAAUUGAAAUCAAGGUCAGGGAUUUUGCUCUAGAAUCAGGGAGACAUUUUUGUGAUGCAUUGCUCAGGGAUAAAUGCCAAGAUGCUCUCCCCAAGGGUAAAUGCCAAACAAAACAAAUUAGUUUACUUUUUUUUUGUGCCCUAAACGUAAUUACUAGAACUUAAUAAAUUCUCAGUAAGAAAGUAUAGAGAGCAGUGCAUCCAGGUCCUGUGGGUAGACUGGUUUUUACAUUUUAUGAACUGCAGUGUUUCUGUGACUCCAAAUAGCUGCAAUGAUUUUGCUUGUUGACACCAGUUAUACCAAUAAUUACACAAAUCAAGGUCAGUGCAACGUUCACUGAUGCGAAACCAAUGUGUUGUGUGAUUUAUGUAAUGAAGGUUCCCUCCAUUUUCAAUCUAAUUCCCCCAGAACAAAACAGUCUACAGAGUUUUUAAGCCUUAUCUGAAAAGACAAGAGGUUCUUCUAUUUCAUUAUCAGCUUAACAAUAACAUAAGGUGACUCAAAUAAAAGCUGUGCACCACGGUG